RNAcentral lists this transfer RNA (70 nucleotides) under Ectomomyrmex javanus. RNAcentral describes it as "tRNA-Met". Lineage: Eukaryota; Metazoa; Arthropoda; Insecta; Hymenoptera; Formicidae. The record is from RNAcentral.
UAAUUAAGUAAGCUAUUGUUUAAGCUUCUAGGUUCAUACCCUAAAUAAAGAUUUUAUUUCUCUUAAUUAU